CGCCUCUUGAAUGUCUAUAAGAGGUCCAGCCUGCCCAGUGACCAUGUUCAACGGCCGCGGUAUCCUAACCGUGCGAAGGUAGCGUAAUCACUUGUUCUUUAAAUGUGGACUAGUAUGAAUGGCACCACGAAGGUUAUACUGUCUCCUUUUUCUAAUCAGUGAAACUAAUCUCCCCGUGAAGAAGCGGGAAUAAAAUUAUAAGACGAGAAGACCCUAUGGAGCUUAAAACAAUAUAGCACUUGCCACAUAACAUAAAAAUUUCCGAAAAAAUUUUAAUUUAUAUUGACAACUUGACUAUAAGUUUUUGGUUGGGGUGACCACGGAGAAUAGCACAACCUCCAUGAUGAACGAACUAUUUUUAAACUAAGACCUACCGGUCUAAGUAUCAAUAUAUUGACAUCCAUUGAUCCAAUAUAAUUGAACAACGAACCAAGUUACCCUAGGGAUAACAGCGCAAUCUACUUCAAGAGCUCCUAUCGACAAGUGGGUUUACGACCUCGAUGUUGGAUCAGGGUAUCCCAGUGGUGCAGCCGCUACUAAAGGUUCGUUUGUUCAACGAUUAAAAC
This 566-nucleotide ribosomal RNA is filed under the name Incilius signifer. RNAcentral describes it as "partial 16S ribosomal RNA". It matches the Rfam family "Bacterial large subunit ribosomal RNA", at positions 1832 to 2594 of the family's 2925-position model. The record is from RNAcentral. Lineage: Eukaryota; Metazoa; Chordata; Amphibia; Anura; Bufonidae.